RNAcentral lists this long non-coding RNA (338 nucleotides) under Xyrichtys novacula (pearly razorfish). The record is from RNAcentral. Lineage: Eukaryota; Metazoa; Chordata; Actinopteri; Labriformes; Labridae.
CAUCUCUCUCCACGGUAUCAUAGGUAAUGUAAUCCAGUAUUUAGAGGUCAGUUAUGCACAUUACAGUUGUUUAUUGCAUAAAAAGUUAUCGAAAAAUGAAGUUAAGGGCAAAGUAUAAAUCACGUCUAAAAAUAGACUGAAUCCCGACGUUGAAAUGAAGUAUAAACUUAGACUAGACGUCUAAUAUACGUCUUUUGCUCAGUGGGAUGACAAAGCAUGUGGACAUUUGUGUGACACGCCACUUACCCUAUAAUAAUAAUCGCCACCACUCGCUGCUCAAACGGUGUGAGGGUCUCCUCCCCCGGACCCCCACCUGUCUGGCCAGUACUCCUCCGGAG